CGCGGCCUAUCAGCUUGUUGGUGAGGUAACGGCUCACCAAGGCGAUUACGGGUAGCUGGUCUGAGAGGACGAUCAGCUACACUGGAACUGAGAUACGGUCCAGACUCCUACGGGAGGCAGCAGGAGGGAAUCUUGCGCAAUGGGCGAAAGCCUGACGCAGCGACGCCGCGUGGGGGAUGAAUGCCUUAGGGUUGUAAACCCCUUUCACGAGGGAAGAAACUGACGGUACCUCGAGAAGAAGCCCCGGCCAACUACGUGCCAGCAGCCGCGGUAAUACGUAGGGGGCGAGCGUCGUCUGGAUUUAUUGGGCGUAAAGGGCUCGUAGGCGGCUUGGCAAGUCGGCCGUGAAAACCCAGGGCUCAACUCUGGGACGCCGGUCGAUACUGCCAUGGCUAGGGUCCGGCAGAGGGGAAUGGAAUUCCCGGUGUAGCGGUGAAAUGCGCAGAUAUCGGGAGGAACACCAGUAGCGAAGGCGGUUCCCUGGGCCGGCACCGACGCUGAGGAGCGAAAGCGUGGGGAGCAAACAGGAUUAGAUACCCUGGUAGUCCACGCCGUAAACGUUGGGUACUAGGCGUGGCGUCUUAUCAACGGAUGCCGUGCUCGAAGCUAACGCGUUAAGUACCCCGCCUGGGGAGUACGG
This 640-nucleotide ribosomal RNA is filed under the name uncultured bacterium. RNAcentral describes it as "bacterial SSU rRNA". It matches the Rfam family "Bacterial small subunit ribosomal RNA", at positions 232 to 885 of the family's 1533-position model. The record is from RNAcentral.